GAAAAAAUGUGCUUUGUCACUUACAAAAUACACUGUAGUUCAAUUUAGAUUUGUGGAGAAAGCAUUGUUUUACAGAAGAGUGGAGGAAGAUGACCAUAGUUCAAAAACCUUUUCCAGCCUCGGUCUCUGAGAGAAAUCGUAUUAUAUUGCAGAGCAGCCUGGAGUGGGUGUUUGUAUAUGCUGGAGAUUACAGAGAAGUAAGGUAAGCAGACAUUGAAUCAGCAAAAGAGGGAGAAUUAAAUAGCAUAACUCAUUAAUUCUUCAGUCUUUGUUACAAUUAACUUCAUUUUGUCUCACUGGUUGUUAACAAGCCUAUCUGGAGAAUAUGCAAGCUGGUGUGGGGAAGACCUCUGGGAGGUCUAUAUUUUGAGGAAGGUUUAAGUAUGAAGAAUUACUGGUACCUCAUGGCUUUAUAGAAGGAUGUCUAAGGACAAAGAUGACAAAGAGGGCUUAAAGCAUAGUUUAC
RNAcentral lists this long non-coding RNA (466 nucleotides) under Parus major (Great Tit). RNAcentral's name for it is "lncRNA (ENSPMJG00000007812.1)". Lineage: Eukaryota; Metazoa; Chordata; Aves; Passeriformes; Paridae. The record is from RNAcentral.